AUACUUACCUGGCCAGGGAGAUGCCAUGAUUAUGAAGAUGGUUUUCCUAGGGCGAGGCUUAUCCAUUGCACUUGGAUGUGCUGACCCCUGCGACUCCCCCAAUGUGGGAAAUUUGACUGCAUAAUCUGUGGUAGUGGGGGACAUAUUUGUGCUCUCUUC
Molecule: small nuclear RNA, 159 nt
Filed under: Myotis davidii
Lineage: Eukaryota; Metazoa; Chordata; Mammalia; Chiroptera; Vespertilionidae
Description: U1 spliceosomal RNA
Rfam family: U1 spliceosomal RNA
About the family: U1 is a small nuclear RNA (snRNA) component of the spliceosome (involved in pre-mRNA splicing). Its 5' end forms complementary base pairs with the 5' splice junction, thus defining the 5' donor site of an intron.
Source: Rfam by way of RNAcentral